ACGAACGCUGGCGGCGUGCCUAAUACAUGCAAGUAGAACGCUGAAGGAGGAGCUUGCUCUUCUGGAUGAGUUGCGAACGGGUGAGUAACGCGUAGGUAACCUGCCUGGUAGCGGGGGAUAACUAUUGGAAACGAUAGCUAAUACCGCAUAACAGUAGAUGUUGCAUGACAUUUACUUAAAAGGUGCAAUUGCAUCACUACCAGAUGGACCUGCGUUGUAUUAGCUAGUUGGUGGGGUAACGGCUCACCAAGGCGACGAUACAUAGCCGACCUGAGAGGGUGAUCGGCCACACUGGGACUGAGACACGGCCCAGACUCCUACGGGAGGCAGCAGUAGGGAAUCUUCGGCAAUGGACGGAAGUCUGACCGAGCAACGCCGCGGGAGUGAAGAAGGGUUUCGGAUCGUAAAGCUCUGUUGUAAGAGAAGAACGAGUGUGAGAGUGGAAAGUUCACACUGUGACGGUAGCUUACCAGAAAGGGACGGCUAACUACAUG
RNAcentral lists this ribosomal RNA (494 nucleotides) under uncultured bacterium. RNAcentral's name for it is "partial 16S ribosomal RNA". It matches the Rfam family "Bacterial small subunit ribosomal RNA", at positions 29 to 507 of the family's 1533-position model. The record is from RNAcentral.